RNAcentral lists this ribosomal RNA (229 nucleotides) under uncultured bacterium. RNAcentral describes it as "partial 16S ribosomal RNA". It matches the Rfam family "Bacterial small subunit ribosomal RNA", at positions 568 to 796 of the family's 1533-position model. The record is from RNAcentral.
UGCGUAGGCGGAAUGAUAAGUCAGUGGUGAAAACCUGCAGCUUAACUGUAGAACUGCCAUUGAUACUGUUAGUCUUGAGUACGGUCAAGGUAGGCGGAAUGUGUAAUGUAGCGGUGAAAUGCUUAGAUAUUACACAGAACACCGAUUGCGAAGGCAGCUUACUGGGCCAUUACUGACGCUGAGGCACGAAAGCGUGGGUAGCGAACAGGAUUAGAUACCCUGGUAGUCC